This 229-nucleotide unclassified non-coding RNA is filed under the name uncultured fungus. RNAcentral describes it as "sequence contains ITS1, 5.8S rRNA gene". The stretch from base 181 to 229 matches the Rfam family "5.8S ribosomal RNA", at positions 1 to 49 of the family's 154-position model. Lineage: Eukaryota; Fungi. The record is from RNAcentral.
UCUCCGUAGGUGAACCUGCGGAGGGAUCAUUACUGAGUGAGGGUCUCCGGGCCCGACCUCCAACCCUUUUGUGAACCACCUCGUUGCUUCGGGGGCGACCCUGCCGCUUCGGCGGUGCGGCGCCCCCGGAGGCCAUUAAACACUGCAUCAUUGCGUCGGAGUCUUAAUGAAUUUAAACAAAACUUUUAACAACGGAUCUCUUGGUUCCAGCAUCGAUGAAGAACGCAGC